This 462-nucleotide ribosomal RNA is filed under the name uncultured bacterium. RNAcentral's name for it is "partial 16S ribosomal RNA". It matches the Rfam family "Bacterial small subunit ribosomal RNA", at positions 30 to 507 of the family's 1533-position model. The record is from RNAcentral.
AUGAACGCUGACAGAAUGCUUAACACCUGCAAGUCGAUGGGGAAGUGGUGCUUGCACCCUGGUAACCAUGGCGGACGGGUGAGUAACGCGUAAGGAACUUACCUGCGGGACCGGGAUAACAGCAGGAAACUGCUGACAAGACCGGAUAAGGCCAUUAAGCUGCAUAGCUUAGUGAUGAAAGGAGACGCCUGCGGAGAGCCUUGCGUCCUAUUAGCUAGUUGGAGGGGUAACGGCCCACCAAGGCGACGAUAGGUAGCCGGCCUGAGAGGGUGGACGGCCACAAGGGGACUGGGAUACGGCACUGACGCCUACUGGAGGCAGCAGGGGGGAAUAAUGGAGAAAGGGGGCAACCCUGAUGCAGGAAUUCUGUGUGCACGAAGACGGUUGUCGGAUUGUAAAGUACUUACAGCAGGGAAGAAUGAAGUGACGGUACCUGCAGAAGAAGCGACGGCUAAAUACGUG